This 90-nucleotide transfer RNA is filed under the name Amborella trichopoda. RNAcentral's name for it is "tRNA AMTR_s00189t00274470". The record is from RNAcentral. Lineage: Eukaryota; Viridiplantae; Streptophyta; Magnoliopsida; Amborellales; Amborellaceae.
UACUAAUAGUACGAGUACUACUAGUACUAGUAUUAAUAGUAUUAGUACUACUAGUAGUAUUACUAAUAGUUCUAAUGCUACUACUAGUAC